UGUUGAAAUGUGAAUUAAAAUUAUAAGGCCUUAUUUAGCUGUCCAGAUGUUUUCAUUUAGAUUGAAAAUAGUUUGCUUCUGUUGAAGGCAUUAAUGAGUUACGAUGUAAAAUUUAUAACAGUUGCAUUUUGCUUUCUCUGACUUAAGCAUCUCAUAUAAAGAACUAGGGAAUUUUAAGUGCUUUCAGUAUUUCAAAGACAUUUCCUUUGAGGGUUGGACAGAUUUUAAUGUGUUAUUCUUGGUCAAUGUUAGUUUGUCCCUAACAAGCUCAAAUUCAAAAGAGAUUCCCUUUUGAAAUACUGGCAAAUUUGAAAGACUAUGAAACAGACUUUCAAAUGCAGUAAAUUUACUUCAGUGAUGCCUCUUGGAAGACAGCAAUACUUUUCUCCCCUCCAAAUUUAGCCUUAACAUUUAAUCUAUAGGGUUAUUAUUUUCUGUAUUUCUUUAUAUCCCCCUAACC
Molecule: long non-coding RNA, 460 nt
Filed under: Bos taurus (domestic cattle)
Lineage: Eukaryota; Metazoa; Chordata; Mammalia; Artiodactyla; Bovidae
Description: long non-coding RNA NONBTAT017448
Source: RNAcentral